GCCUGGAUAGCUCAGUAGGUAGCGCAUCAGACUUUUAAUCUGAGGGUCCAGGGUUCAAGUCCCUGUUCGGGCG
RNAcentral lists this transfer RNA (73 nucleotides) under Petromyzon marinus (sea lamprey). RNAcentral's name for it is "tRNA-Lys (TTT) (tRNA-Lys-TTT-4-1)". It matches the Rfam family "tRNA". From Rfam's summary of the family: Transfer RNA (tRNA) molecules are approximately 80 nucleotides in length. The record is from RNAcentral. Lineage: Eukaryota; Metazoa; Chordata; Hyperoartia; Petromyzontiformes; Petromyzontidae.